GGGUCUGUUUCCCUACGGUGGACUGUAAAUCCAUUGCCGAAUUGUAGGGUGGCUGGCGAGAGGUUCGAUUCCUUGCAGACCCACCA
This 86-nucleotide transfer RNA is filed under the name Spiribacter sp. RNAcentral describes it as "tRNA-OTHER". The record is from RNAcentral. Lineage: Bacteria; Pseudomonadati; Pseudomonadota; Gammaproteobacteria; Chromatiales; Ectothiorhodospiraceae.